This 939-nucleotide ribosomal RNA is filed under the name uncultured bacterium. Its description in RNAcentral is "bacterial SSU rRNA". It matches the Rfam family "Bacterial small subunit ribosomal RNA", at positions 8 to 933 of the family's 1533-position model. The record is from RNAcentral.
AGAGUUUGAUCAUGGCUCAAAUUGAACGCUGGCGGCAUGCCUUACACAUGCAAGUCGAACGGUAACAGGCCGCAGGGUGCUGACGAGUGGCGAACGGGUGAGUAAUGCAUCGGAACGUGCCCAGUAGUGGGGGAUAGCCCGGCGAAAGCCGGAUUAAUACCGCAUACGACCUGAGGGUGAAGGGGGGGGAUCGCAAGACCUCUCGCUAUUGGAGCGGCCGAUGUCAUAUUAGCUAGUUGGUGGGGUAAAGGCCUACCAAGGCAACGAUCUGUAGUUGGUCUGAGAGGACGACCACCCACACUGGGACUGAGACACGGCCCACACUCCUACGGGAGGCAGCAGUGGGGAAUUUUGGACAAUGGGCGCAAGCCUGAUCCAGCAAUGCCGCGUGCAAGAAGAAGGCCUUCGGGUUGUAAUCUUCUUUUGUCAGAGAAAAAAUCUUCUGGGUUAAUACCUCGGGAGGAUGACGGUACCUGAAGAAUAAGCACCGGCUAACUACGUGCCAGCAGCCGCGGUAAUACGUAGGGUGCGAGCGUUAAUCGGAAUUACUGGGCGUAAAGCGUGCGCAGGCGGCUUUGCAAGACAGAGGUGAAAUCCCCGGGCUCAACCUGAGAACUGCCUUUUGUGACUGCAAGCUAGAGUACGGAGAAGGGGGGAAUGGAAUCUCCGCCGUGGUACCAGUUGAAAUGCGUAAAUUUUGGCGGGAGGACCCCCGAUUGGCCGAAGGCCAUCCCCUGGGGUCUUGUACUGACGCUCAUGCACGAAAGCGGUGGAGAAGCAAACAGAAUAAGAUACCGCUGUAGUCCACGCCCUAACGAUGUCAGCUGUGUUUGUUGAACCGCCUUGCCUGUUCAGUACCGAGCUAACGCGAUGAGUGACCCGGCUGAGGAGUCACCGGCCGCUAAGGAUCACUCGAGGAAUUGACGGACCGCAAUCGUG